UAAGGAAUAUUGGACAAUGCCCGCAAGGGUGAUCCAGCCAUGCCGCGUGCAGGAAGACAGCCCUAUGGGUCGUAAACUGCUUUUACACCGGAGAAAACCCCCCUACGUGUAGGGGGCUGAUAGUAUGGUGAGAAUAAGCAUCGGCUAACUUCGUGCCAGCAGCCGCGGUAAGACGAAGGAUGCAAGCGUUAUCCGGAUUCAUUGGGUUUAAAGGGAGCGUAGGCGGCCCGAUAAGUCAGUGGUGAAAUCUCCUGGCUUAACUAGGAAAUUGCCAUUGAUACUGUUGGGCUUGAGUACAGUUGCCGUUGGCGGAAUAUGACAUGUAGUGGUGAAAUACAUAGAGAUGUCAUAGAACACCGAUUGCGAAGGCAGCUAACGAAACUGUAACUGACGCUGAGGCUCGAAAGUGCGGGGAUCAAACAGG
RNAcentral lists this ribosomal RNA (424 nucleotides) under uncultured bacterium. Its description in RNAcentral is "bacterial SSU rRNA". It matches the Rfam family "Bacterial small subunit ribosomal RNA", at positions 355 to 776 of the family's 1533-position model. The record is from RNAcentral.